GCCCCGAACCCGCCGCGAGGAUGAAGCUCUGGGCAGCGCUGCUGCUGGCCGGGCUCGUGGGCAGCCUGGCCGCUGCCCUCCCCGUGGAGAAGGUGGAUUUUGAGGGGCUCCUGAAGGAGCUCGGCAAACUGCUGGACCCCGAUGAGGGACCCCAGGAGCUGGAGGAGCCCAAGGAGAAACCCCAGGAGCUGUUCUGGCUGCUGGACCCCGAUGAGGAACCCCAGGAACAACCCUUGGUAAGCGCCGCAGAGCCCGAGGAUCCUGAGGAGAGCCCAGAGGAGCCCAAGGAGAGCCUGGAGGAGUCUGAGGAUCCUGAGGAGUCAGAAGAUCCCACAGAGAGCCCUGAAGAGUCUGAGGAUCCUGAGGAAAGUCCUGAGGAGUCGGAAGAUCCCAAAGAGAGCCCUGAGGAGUCAGAAGAUCCCAAAGAGAGCCCUGAAGAGCCUGAGGAUCCUGAAGAGAGCCCUGAGGAAUCUGAGGAUCCUGAGGAAAGUCCUGAGGAGUCAGAAGAUCCCACAGAGAGCCCUGAGGAGUCUGAGGAUCCUGAGGAAAGUCCUGAGGAGUCAGAAGAUCCUGAAGAGAGCCCUGAGGAAUCCGAGGAUCCUGAAGCAAACCCAGAAGAGUCAGAAGACCCUGAAGAAAGCCUGGAGGAGUCAGAAGACCCCAAAGAGAACCCCGAGGAGUCCGAGGAUCCUGAAGAGAGCCCUGAGGAGUCGGAGAUCAGGUUGGAUCCGAAUGUCCUGGUGGAACUGGCAGACAAACUCAAAGGUGAGCAGUGAGCGCCCUGAGCGCCCUCAGCACCCUGAGCACCCUGAGCGCCCUGAGCACCCUGAGCACCCUGAGCGCCCUGAGCGCCCUGAGCACCCUGAGCACCCUGAGCGCCCUCAGCACCCUGAGCGCCCUGAGCACCCUGAGCACCCUGAGCACCCUGAGCGCCCUCAGCACCCUGAGCGCCCUGAGCGCCCUGAGCGCCCUGAGCGCCCUGAGCGCUCUGAGCACCCUGAGCGCUCUGAGCACCCUGAGCACCCUGAGCACCCUGAGCGCCCUCAGCACCCUGAGCGCUCCCCCCAGGGCCGGGACACGGAUCCCGCUCCCCCCGCUGAGCUCCGGCUCGUCCCGCGGCUUUCCCCGCUCCACGCACCCCGCACAUCCCAAAUAAAGCCGGUCCCAAACGCUGCCCGUCGUGUCCU
This 1187-nucleotide long non-coding RNA is filed under the name Lonchura striata (white-rumped munia). Its description in RNAcentral is "domestica (Bengalese finch) lncRNA (ENSLSDG00000001411.1)". Lineage: Eukaryota; Metazoa; Chordata; Aves; Passeriformes; Estrildidae. The record is from RNAcentral.